Molecule: ribosomal RNA, 756 nt
Filed under: uncultured archaeon
Lineage: Archaea
Description: bacterial SSU rRNA
Rfam family: Archaeal small subunit ribosomal RNA
Source: RNAcentral
GGAUAACUACCCUUAGGACCGGGAUAACCCUGGGAAACUGGGGCUAAUACUGGAUAGAUAAUUUUUCCUGGAAUGGUUUUUUGUUUAAAUGUUUUUUCGCCUAAGGAUGGGUCUGCGGCCGAUUAGGUAGUUGGUUAGGUAACGGCUUACCAAGCCGUUGAUCGGUACGGGUUGUGAGAGCAAGAGCCCGGAGAUGGAACCUGAGACAAGGUUCCAGGCCCUACGGGGCGCAGCAGGCGCGAAACCUCCACAAUGUGAGAAAUCGCGAUGGGGGGAUCCCAAGUGCCAUUCUUAACGGGAUGGCUUUUCAUUAGUGUAAAAAGCUUUUGGAAUAAGAGCUGGGCAAGACCGGUGCCAGCCGCCGCGGUAACACCGGCAGCUCUAGUGGUAACAAUUUUUAUUGGGCCUAAAGCGUCCGUAGCCGGUUUAAUAAGUCUCUGGUGAAAUCCUGUAGCUUAACUGUGGGAAUUGCUGGAGAUACUAUUAGACUUGAGACCGGGAGAGGUUAGAGGUACUCCCAGGGUAGAGGUGAAAUUCUGUAAUCCUGGGAGGACCGCCUGUUGCGAAGGCGUCUAACUGGAACGGUUCUGACGGUGAGGGACGAAAGUUAGGGGCGCGAACCGGAUUAGAUACCCGGGUAGUCCUAACUGUAAACGAUGCGGACUUGGUGUUGGGGUGGCUUUGAGCUGUCCCAGUGCCGAAGGGAAGCUGUUAAGUCCGCCGCCUGGGAAGUACGGUCGCAAGACUGAAACUUAA